RNAcentral lists this ribosomal RNA (234 nucleotides) under uncultured bacterium. RNAcentral describes it as "partial 16S ribosomal RNA". It matches the Rfam family "Bacterial small subunit ribosomal RNA", at positions 401 to 633 of the family's 1533-position model. The record is from RNAcentral.
GUAUCAAUGGCAAUUUUAUGGUUUGUAAACUCCUUUUAUACCGGGAAUAAAGUGAGUCACGUGUGGCUUUUUGUAUGUACCCUAUGAAUAAGCAUCGGCUAACUCCGUGCCAGCAGCCGCGGUAAUACGGAGGAUGCGAGCGUUAUCCGGAUUUAUUGGGUUUAAAGGGUGCGUAGGUGGUCUUUAAGUCAGCGGUGAAAGUUUGUGGCUUAACCAUAAAAUUGCCAUUGAUAC